GAUGAACGCUGGCGGCGUGCCUAAUACAUGCAAGUCGAGCGAACAGACGAGGAGCUUGCUCCUCUGACGUUAGCGGCGGACGGGUGAGUAACACGUGGAUAACCUACCUAUAAGACUGGGAUAACUUCGGGAAACCGGAGCUAAUACCGGAUAAUAUAUUGAACCGCAUGGUUCAAUAGUGAAAGACGGUUUUGCUGUCACUUAUAGAUGGAUCCGCGCCGCAUUAGCUAGUUGGUAAGGUAACGGCUUACCAAGGCAACGAUGCGUAGCCGACCUGAGAGGGUGAUCGGCCACACUUGAACUGGGACACGGUCCAGACUCCUAAGGGAGGCAGCAAUAGGGAAACUUCCGCAAUGGGCGAAAGCUUGACGGAGCAACGCCGCGUGAGUGAUGAAGGGUUUCGGAUCGUAAAACUCUGUUAAUAGGGAAGAACAAAUGUGGAAGUAACUAUGCACGUCUUGACGGUACCUAAUCAGAAAGCCACGGCUAACUACGUG
RNAcentral lists this ribosomal RNA (497 nucleotides) under uncultured bacterium. RNAcentral's name for it is "partial 16S ribosomal RNA". It matches the Rfam family "Bacterial small subunit ribosomal RNA", at positions 28 to 507 of the family's 1533-position model. The record is from RNAcentral.